This 768-nucleotide ribosomal RNA is filed under the name Spironucleus barkhanus. RNAcentral's name for it is "SSU rRNA". It matches the Rfam family "Eukaryotic small subunit ribosomal RNA", at positions 259 to 1232 of the family's 1831-position model. Lineage: Eukaryota; Fornicata; Diplomonadida; Hexamitidae. The record is from RNAcentral.
AAAAAUAAUAGUAAGUGCGAUUGUAUAUCUGCCACUGCAGCAUCAUCUUACGUUGGUGGGAUAUUUGCCUACCAAGGAUUCGACGCUUACGGGGAAUUAGGGUUUGACUCCGGAGAAUGAGCAUGAGAAACAGCUCAUACAUCUAAGGAAGGCAGCAGGCGCGGAAAUUGCCCAAUGUAUCUUUUAUACGAGGCAGUGACAAGAAAUGGUAGGCACUUUUGUGCACUAUCGAGGGUUAGUGGUAUCUUUGCUAACCGUGACUCGUGGGCAAGCUCGGUGCCAGCAGCCGCGGUAAUUCCGACACAGGGAGUUUUCCAUUUGGUUGCUGCAGUUAAAAAGUUCGUAGUUCACUGACUCUUUCACUAUAAGCAAAGCCGAAUGCUCCAAGUUUUUUAGCAGUAUUUAUAGUAUGAAAUUAUAGCGCGGCAUUGAACGUAGUUUGGGGUACUCGAUAGGGACAGGUGAAAUAGGAUGAUCUAUCGAAGACCCACGGUAGCGGAGGCUCCCAACGAAGUCCAAGUGUCACGAUCAAGAACUAAAGUCAGGGGAUAGACGACGAUUAGACACCGUUUUAUUCAUGACCCUAAACGAUGUCGCCUAGCUGAUGGGAUUUUUUUCAUUUGCCAAGAGAAAUCGUAAGGUUUCAGACUCUGGGGGAAGUAUGAUCGCAAGGUUGAAACUUGAAGGGAUUGACGGAGAGGUACCACCAGACGUGGAGUCUGCGGCUCAAUUUGACUCAACACGCAAACAUUACUAGGCCCAGAAGCU